Clostridiales bacterium S5-A14a is the source of this 131-nucleotide regulatory RNA element. It matches the Rfam family "SAM riboswitch aptamer (S box leader)". From Rfam's summary of the family: The SAM riboswitch is found upstream of a number of genes which code for proteins involved in methionine or cysteine biosynthesis in Gram-positive bacteria. The SAM riboswitch acts at the level of transcription termination control. The predicted structure consists of a complex stem-loop region followed by a single stem loop terminator region. Lineage: Bacteria; Bacillati; Bacillota; Clostridia; Peptostreptococcales; Anaerovoracaceae. The record is from Rfam.
ACCUUAUCAAGAGUGGCGGAGGGAAUAGGCCCUGUGAUGCCCGGCAACCCUAAGGCGGAUGUUUAAAAAGAUAUCUUAACACCAUCUUAAAGGUGCUAAUUCCUACAGAGCAUUGCUUUGAAAGAUGAGGA